This 162-nucleotide ribosomal RNA is filed under the name Opuntia sp. LCM-2011a. RNAcentral describes it as "5.8S ribosomal RNA". It matches the Rfam family "5.8S ribosomal RNA". Rfam says of the family: 5.8S ribosomal RNA (5.8S rRNA) is a component of the large subunit of the eukaryotic ribosome. The record is from RNAcentral. Lineage: Eukaryota; Viridiplantae; Streptophyta; Magnoliopsida; Caryophyllales; Cactaceae.
AACGACUCUCGGCAACGGAUAUCCCGGCUCUCGCAUCGAUGAAGAACGUAGCGAAAUGCGAUACUUGGUGUGAAUUGCAGAAUCCCGUGAACCAUCGAGUCUUUGAACGCAAGUUGCGCCCAAAGCCUUCCGGCCGAGGGCACGUCUGCCUGGGCGUCACGC